This is a long non-coding RNA of Dermochelys coriacea (leatherback sea turtle), 1626 nucleotides long. RefSeq lists it as uncharacterized. The record is from RefSeq and is a predicted model, not a curated record. The transcript has 3 exons. NCBI's taxonomy places the organism in Eukaryota, Metazoa, Chordata, Testudines, Dermochelyidae.
ACAGACCAGGCGUGUCUAUCCAAUGUUAAUGCUCAAAAAAACUGGACAAGUGUGCUGGUGAAUGUACUUUAGCUGAGUGGUGAAUCAAAGGAGGGGCCAUCCAUAGCCAAGUAGCUACUAGCAGAGGAGAGAUUGAUUCUUCAUUUCCUCUUGUGUGACCAUUUCUGCGAGGAAGCCCCAGGAGCUCAACAACAGAUUGAGAAAAACUUUAGAACAUCAUAGAAUUUUCCUGUGAAACAGAAAAAUCCAGGGUCCGCCCAGCUUUGAGGAUUGAUUUGGAUUGCAGUAGCACCCAGAAGCUCGACCCAAGAUCAGGGCCCUGUUGUAGUAGGGUCUGUCUGUAUUCAUAGUAAGACAGACCCUGCCUCAAAGGGCUCACUGUCAAAACAGACAAGACAGGCCAAGGGUGGCGAAGAGGAAGGGUCCCUCUGCUCAUUUUCAAUGCUGCAGUUUCUGUAUUAGUAUGAAUUAGCUUCAUGUGGUAAGGGUGGGCAGCUGGUGUGAGCAAAGGGGCAGGCUGCAUUACUGGAAGAGGGUGAGGGGCAGCUGGCAGUUAUAUGUAUAGGGCACCUUUUAAAAAAAGUUUACACAUUUUAAAAAAAAAAAAGGAUUACUCCUCAAUUACAGCAUGACAUGCAACAAAACCCAGGUGUUCCAUCUUCCGCUGAUUAGUCACACAUUUUCACAGCUGUGUCACGUACUGGCAGGUGUGAAAACCCACUAGGCAGAUUUGGAAACAUCCGCCUGACUUGCUUGUGUAACAGAUUUGCAUAUUAAAAAUGUUACUUCACCCUCUGUGUUGUACGAUUCUCAGCCGUACGCUGUGACAUCUAAAGGCAAUAGUUUCAGACCAGAGCAUGGAACUAGCUGCUCUUUGCUGCCACUGAAAAGUACAAAGGAACAGAUGCUGCAGAAGCUAAUGGACUGAAACUCUAGUCAAAUAAAUUCCGCUGAGCUGUUCGCUCAGUGUUCCAUAGCUAGCAGACUUCAAUGAGCCCUUCUGCUGUGUCAUCUCACAGUGCUGGUGCACAGAAGUGGUGGCGUCAGUAAGAGUGAAUUCAGUGACAGAGCUCCCUGCUCCUUAGAGAUAAGGGUUCCCUGCCUGCCCACGUUUAAUAUUUAAACUGAAUUGAAUUUCAGCUGAUAGCGCUCUAGCCCAUGUGUAGACGGAUCCAUGGAUUUAAUGUACUGGGGUUUCCACAUCUUGAUCUUGUCCCUAUCUAUCACCUGUUGGCUCGUUAGCUCAAGUUGUAGCCACUCCUGCUGCUGGGACUGGAGGGCUUUGGUUCAGUCCCUGGUGUAUCGGCCAAGGGGGUGGCUCUCACGUAUGCAACACGCUGAUCUUUCCACGCGAAUUGUCCGGGUAUAGUCAACAAACCUUGACUAUAUGCAGGUCCUGGCAUGCAGGAAUAGUAGGAAAUGCAGGUCCUGGCCACACAGAGUCCUCCAAGGAAAUCCCUUUACAUCAGGCAGGAGCAAAGCCCUGCCAUGUGGGGGGAUGGAGGUUGUACUUCCAGCUCCCCUUUUUGAAAUUGUGCCAGGAAAAGCCACUGUUCUUGGUGAAUGAAAAGGAAAUAAACCAAAAAAACCCACUAAAAGAGAGAGGCACGUUCACCAAUUUCUCCC